UGGUGACAGCGGAGGGACAUUAC
Molecule: ribosomal RNA, 23 nt
Filed under: Colletotrichum boninense
Lineage: Eukaryota; Fungi; Ascomycota; Sordariomycetes; Glomerellales; Glomerellaceae
Also listed under: 1 other name
Description: partial 18S ribosomal RNA
Source: RNAcentral